RNAcentral lists this ribosomal RNA (667 nucleotides) under Scombrolabrax heterolepis. RNAcentral describes it as "partial 16S ribosomal RNA". It matches the Rfam family "Bacterial large subunit ribosomal RNA", at positions 606 to 1761 of the family's 2925-position model. The record is from RNAcentral. Lineage: Eukaryota; Metazoa; Chordata; Actinopteri; Scombriformes; Scombrolabracidae.
UUUUGCAUCAUGAUUUAGCCAGUACACCCCAAGCAAAGCGGCACUUUAGUUUGGGCCCCCGAAACUACGUGAGCUACUCCAAGACAGCCUAUUAGUAGGGCAAACCCGUCUCUGUGGCAAAAGAGUGGGAAGAGCUUUGAGUAGAGGUGAUAGACCUAUCGAACCUAGUGAUAGCUGGUUGCCUGAGAAUUGGACAGGAGUUCAGCCUCCCGGCUUCUUUCUAAACCAGGAGAGUUAUUCAAAGGAGGUACAGCCCCUUUGAAACAAGACACAACUUUCCCAGGAGGGUAAAGAUCACAAUCACCAAAGGUAACUUGCUGCGGUGGGCCUAAAAGCAGCCAUCCCUACAGAAAGCGUUAAAGCUCAAGCACUUUAUUUAGAUAAUCAAAUCCCAACCCCCUAACACUAUCAGGCCAUCUCAUGUACACAUGAGAGUGUUCAUGCUAAUAUGAGUAAUAAGAGAGGCCUCUCUCCUUGCACACGUGUAAGUCGGAUCGGACCCCCACCGACAAUUAACGGCCCCAAACAAAGAGGGCAAUGAACGACAACCAGAAAACCGCUCACCGUUAACCCCACACUGGUGUGCCCCCAAGGAAAGACCAAAAGAAGAAGAAGGAACUCGGCAAACAAGCCUCGCCUGUUUACCAAAAACACCGCCUCUUGCAGA